This 437-nucleotide ribosomal RNA is filed under the name uncultured bacterium. RNAcentral's name for it is "partial 16S ribosomal RNA". It matches the Rfam family "Bacterial small subunit ribosomal RNA", at positions 28 to 507 of the family's 1533-position model. The record is from RNAcentral.
AGCGAACGCUGACGGCAUGCUUAACACAUGCAAGUCGCGCGGGUGGUUUCGGCCAUCCGCGGCGGACGGGUGAGUAUCGCGUAGGAAUGUAUCCCGAGGUGGGGGACAACCCUGGGAAACUGGGGCUAAUACCGCAUGGGGCCUGUGGGUCAAAGCCUUAGGGCGCCUUGGGAGCAGCCUGCGUCCGAUUAGGUAGUUGGUGGGGUAAAGGCCUACCAAGCCUGCGAUCGGUAGCUGGUCUGAGAGGACGAUCAGCCACACUGGGACUGAGACACGGCCCAGACUCCUACGGGAGGCAGCAGUGGGGAAUAUUGGACAAUGGGCGCAAGCCUGAUCCAGCAAUGCCGCGUGGGUGAAGAAGGUCUUCGGAUUGUAAAGCCCUUUCGGCGGGGACGAUGAUGACGGUACCCGCAGAAGAAGCCCCGGCUAACUUCGUG